GGUAACAGGUAGCUUGCUAUGCUGACGACCGGCGCACGGGUGAGUAACGCGUAUACAAUCUACCUUGUACUGAGGGAUAGCCCAGAGAAAUUUGGAUUAAUACCUCAUAGUAUAUGGUCUUCACCUGAAGAUUAUAUUAAAGGUUACGGUACAAGAUGAGUAUGCGUUCUAUUAGCUAGAUGGUAAGGUAACGGCUUACCAUGGCGACGAUAGAUGGGGGCCCUGAGAGGGGGAUCCCCCACACUGGUACUGAGACACGGACCAGACUCCUACGGGAGGCAGCAGUGAGGAAUAUUGGACAAUGGGCGAGAGCCUGAUCCAGCCAUGCCGCGUGCAGGAUGACUGCCCUAUGGGUUGUAAACUGCUUUUAUACAGGAAGAAACACUCCCUCGUGAGGGAGCUUGACGGUACUGUAAGAAUAAGGAUCGGCUAACUCCGUGCCAGCAGCCGCGGUAAUACGGAGGAUCCAAGCGUUAUCCGGAAUCAUUGGGUUUAAAGGGUCCGUAGGUGGAUAAUUAAGUCAGAGGUGAAAUCCUGCAGCUCAACUGUAGAAUUGCCUUUGAUACUGGUUAUCUUGAGUUAUUAUGAAGUAGUUAGAAUAUGUAGUGUAGCGGUGAAAUGCAUAGAUAUUACAUAGAAUACCAAUUGCGAAGGCAGAUUACUAAUAAUUAACUGACACUGAUGGACGAAAGCGUGGGGAGCGAACAGGAUUAGAUACCCUGGUAGUCCACGCCGUA
This 737-nucleotide ribosomal RNA is filed under the name Bizionia sp. BB2. RNAcentral's name for it is "bacterial SSU rRNA". It matches the Rfam family "Bacterial small subunit ribosomal RNA", at positions 67 to 804 of the family's 1533-position model. Lineage: Bacteria; Pseudomonadati; Bacteroidota; Flavobacteriia; Flavobacteriales; Flavobacteriaceae. The record is from RNAcentral.